Molecule: long non-coding RNA, 891 nt
Filed under: Oryza sativa aromatic subgroup
Lineage: Eukaryota; Viridiplantae; Streptophyta; Magnoliopsida; Poales; Poaceae
Description: lncRNA OsARC_11g0023350
Source: RNAcentral
UUUUCUCCAGAGGACAUCAUUUCUUCAGUGACGAAAGGGUUUAUUGAUUCUGAUGGAGAAGAGGAGCUGGAAGAUGUUGGUCGACAGUACUUUGAUGAAUUAGUGUCAUCCGCAUUUCUAGAGGAACAACCUCCGACGAAUUACUUUGCAAUUCCUGAUCUGGUGCAUGAUUUAGCAGUGCAGGUCGCAGGAGGAGCUCUUAUGCAAGAUGUUCGGCACCUUUUUAUUGAGGCUGACGGUGCUGAAAAUAUCGGAAUGAUCUUAGAAUUAACAGAACUGCAAACUCUGAUAAUAACUUAUACUGGACCAUGUAGGGAAAUGUUGGUCGAGGAAAUAUUUGAAAGUGUGUUCACGAGGCUGCCUAAUUUGCGGGUACUGAUACUGAAAGUAGAAAACAUGCAUCGGCCCUGGGGUAAGACUAUUUUCAUCCCGGAAUCUAUUGGUAGGUUAAAACUUCUGCGUUAUUUUGCUUUCGUGGGGUGCCAAAGGUCUACGGUGUUAAAAUGGCCAAGCACAUUUGUGCAGCUUUACCAUUUGGAGGUGCUAGAUGUUGGACGUUCAACUGACUUGUUAUUCUUCUCCUGCAAUGAUUUGAGUAAACUCAUCAAGUUGAGGCAUGUAAUUGCCGAUGGGAAAGAUAGUGAUUGGGCAUACAUUGGCAAGCUGGAGUCACUCCGAACAUUUGAACAUUUCACUGUAAAGAAGGGAGAGGGGUAUGAGCUAUGUCAGCUGAAGCAACUGAACAAGCUUCGUGGCAAACUAUCUAUUUAUGGUCUUGAAAAUGUUUCCAGCCAAGAGGAUGCUCUUGAUGCUGAACUGCAUAGAAAGGAAAACCUCAAAGAAGUGAAACUGACAUGGGAUGGGAAAAGGGAGACUAGCGACGAGGAAUGA